Molecule: long non-coding RNA, 4235 nt
Organism: Hemicordylus capensis (graceful crag lizard)
Lineage: Eukaryota; Metazoa; Chordata; Lepidosauria; Squamata; Cordylidae
Exons: 5
Source: RefSeq, a predicted model, not a curated record
UCAUGCUCCAGAGAGGCCUGAAGUGUAGGGUAAUAUUAGGCAGAGGGAGAGAACAAAAUGGCAGAGCAAAUGAAUGACCAAACGAAGAAAGUUUGGACAUAGUUAUGGGAGGGUACAAGGAAUUUUACCUCAGAAUGUGUGAGGAAAAUGUUAUUUGCUACACACACAUACACACGCCCCCUUUCAGGGAAUUUUCAGUCACAAUAAAUUCCCUCAGCCUUCCUGAGGAAAACAAUGACAUUGGCUGCCAACAGAAUUCCCCAAGUGGUUGCCGGAAAUAGUGGGAGUAAUGCUGGUGCUCACCCAUGUGAUUCAUUGAUUUAGUUUUUUCAGACCCCAUAUUUUCAUAACAUUUAUUGUGUGUUUGAUUGCUCAUAUAAAACUUUAAUGCUUAUGGGCCCACUUAUAGGGAAGGUAUUUUCCUGUGUGAGAGUGAGGCGGAGAUUGUGCUCACGAGGGUGGGGCUUCUAUUGGCCGGGGGAUGGUGGAGGAGCCUGUAUCCACCAUCCACCACUUACAUGCAACAUGUACCUAAAGGCUGGGAGGAGGGUGAAGGAAUGUGAAGGAAGGAAUGUGAGGAAACAACCUACUUCCGUUCCAUGAUCUUCCGGAAUUCUAUCCUGGAGAGGACCCCGCGGGAUUGGGCCUGGAUGCGGGUGAUGAUGCGAGAGAGGCGCUCGUCCCUCAUCUCCUCCAACAUCCCCAGGAGACCCGCUUUGAAGAACACCUGGGUGGAAAGAGAGACUUUGAAAGAUAUUGGUGCCCCCUAGUGGCUGAAGCCAGAGCUAGUGACACACCAUCGCCCUCGCCCUGUGGGAGUGGCUCCCUCUGACUCCGCCUUCCUCUCACCUUGGUGUGCCCAAAUUUGUACUGGUUGUGGUCGAUAUCUAGAGAGCUCAGCAGCUUCUCUGCCCCUUUCCUGCUGUCGAUGAACUGACCCUCGGGGAUGGCGGCUGGGUUCAGGAUACGGUACCUGAGAAGAUGAAAGUGCAUGAUGGCUCCCGUCAACUUGUAUAUGGAGUUCUUCUCUUCCUGGGUGAAGCCCAAGACAUCAAAGGCACUCUGUGUAUGGAGAAAAGAAAGGGUGACCCCCAACUGCUUCUCCGCAGCCCAAGCGGCAACAGAGGCAGGAGUCUCUCCCAGCCCUACCUGGGAGUGAACCUGGGACCUUCUGCGUGGGAAACAGAUGCCCUUGCAACUGAACUCAAGGGGGAUGUCUUACAGCAGGCAGAGCUCACAGGUGGACAGAAAAACCCAAAGUUGUCAACAUCUGACUUUCAGGCUUAAGGUUUUCACAUUCGGGCACGCUGCAAUAUCUAGGGGAGAUUCCAUCUUUGGGAGACCCAGCGAACAUCCACAUUCACCAUCAAGAGAACACACUUGGAUGAAAAGAGAGAAGCUGGAAAUUCAAAUGUGAAACCUCUUUGCUCUUUUGAAGCAACACCCAUUUAUUCCCAGGAAGUAUCUGUAUGUGUUUGAAACUUUUCUGAUAAGGAAGAGAGAGAAGGAAAUUGUUUGGGCUAGAUGAGCUAAAAUAUUUGAAUGUUCUAACUCCUGGUACCACAACGGAAUUUGGAAGGGAAAUUCUCACUCAAAUUUGCAGAAUUAGCUGAAAAUGUGCACACUAGAUUCUCUGAAAAUACACGCACGCGCACACCACUACAAACAUGUCCCUCACAUAUUCAAUAUACUCACCAGAAUUACAUACAUUAGAUUUCAUGCAAAGAUGUGUCCUAACCUGGCAACUUACGGACAUCAGGCCAGAGGGAUCCACUUUGUCUUUUAGAAGAACCCUGAGACCCGAAGCCAAGGCAAACCAGCAGUGGGGAGGGCUGGAGAGGCACUUUGGAUUAAGGGCCAGGGUGCCUCUGAGCACACACUCAGCCUAGGAAUUUGCUCUCCGUUCCAGAACUGGGCUCACAAUUCUUUUGUGCAAAAACACACCCCUGGUUUUGAUCCAACUUUCUUUAUUUCAGCAGCCGAAUUUAGAAAGGAAGGGGGGGAGGGGAAACGCCUUUUGUUGACUAUUGUUAAAUAAUUGGGAGUCAAAAACCUUUGCUACAUCUGCUGCAAAUCACCCAGAGAUCUUCCAGAAGAUGGGCCAUAGCUCAGUGGAAAAUGCAGAAGGUCCCGGGUUCACUCCCUGGCAGCAGCAUCUCUGGGUAAGGCUGGGAAAGACUCCAGCUUGAAACCUAGGAGAAUCGCUGCCAGUCAGUGUAGACAACCCUGAGUGAAAUGGACCAAUGGUCUGACUCAGUGUAAAGCACUGUCCUAUAUUCCUGUCUCUGUCUACCUUCAGCUCGAUAAGGGAUACAUGAAAAUCUGACAAAUCCCAACAUGCAGAAUACACACACACACACACCAUGCUUGCAGAAAGACACCGCUACAAGCAUAUACAUGAAAUCUAUGAAGAGAUUUCACCCACUGGCUAGCUUACUUGUGUGUGGCUGAUGGCGGCCACCUUCUUUGCAAAAUGUACAGAAUCCAUCCUGUGCAUGCAUGGAUGCGCCAGACAUGCACGGAGGUACUAAUGCUUAGACUCCCAUAUAUGCCGCUCCAUACUGAAACACAUUCACCUCCCUCACGCUUGUAACAUCAUUUCUCUGCUGGGCUGGACACGCCACCACUCUUUCCGCACACCAUACAAUCGCAGAUAUAUGCCCUUAUACAUUAAUACGCAUUACAGAAGACACCUUAAGUACAAUGCUCCAGCCUGAUUUUGACACACACAGAAUCUCAGAUCUCAGCCAUAAGUGAUCAGGAAAUUCCCAGCCCCCAUUAAAAAAAACACAAACCCCAAACCACCCACAUUUACGAUUCACUCCAUCGCACCUCCCUACUCCAAGAUGCUGGCCUGGAUUUGGAGAGGAGCUGGGUGUUAGAACUGGGCCUUACCUGAGACCAGCACAGAUGGGAGGGUUCUAAGCAGGGUGCUUGGCCAGAACCCGUGUUAUAAACCCCCAAUCCCCCGCCCCCUCCCUCUGGCCGGCCUCAUAUGGACACACAGACCCAUUCCUUCCCCAGCCCCCAACCCUUGGUGUUCACCCCCUGGAACAAUUGGAAGCUCUCGUCAUUGUUGUGGUAUGAAGAAGAAUAAGAACAGGUUCAGGGAGAGGGGGGGUCAGGGAGGGGGGCACUGAAAUAUCUUGGAACAACAGGGCUGAGAUUCCAGGGGACGGGGUCUCAAGGGAGGAAAGGCAGACAGGGAAACAGGACACAUUUUAUGCAGGCUAGGAAUAUCUCUAUGCCCCUGAUUCUCCUUCCUACAGCCUUGCCCAAACCUCCUGGCCCCCACAAUCCCACAAGGACAAACUGGGACCAAUCCAGAGAAAGUUAACUGUUAUAUAAGUUUGAUGUGUUUUUCAGUCCCGUUCAUUUCAUCAGUGUAACUCAGAGUGUUGGGAUGCAGGCCUUCAGCGAUAACCAGGGCUACAUCAAGAGCCUCUCAUGAUUCAAGGGCUCUCUUCUUUGGGUUUUAAACCAGGGGUUCCCAACUUUGCACCCCCAGAAGUGGUCGGACUACAGCUCCCAUCAUCCCCAGCCUUUGGCCACUGUGACUGGGAACGAUGGGUGCUGUAGUCCAACAACUUCUGGGGAGCCCACAUUGGGAACCCCUGGUUUAAACUCACCUCUGAUUCUUUCCUUGAUCCAGUAUACAAAACCAGGAAACGAAGAGGCAAAUGCUGGGUUUUUCUUCUCAGGAUUCCCCUUCACGGCUAUCUUUUGCAGCGUCCUCCACUGAGACUCAUCCACACACUCUCCACUGUGUGAACAAAGAAGGAUUUUUCAGUUUGGAUUAAGAACCUCAGCCACGGAUGUGCAGACAAAUGAACUCGCCCUUUGGAAAGGCUGCAUCUUUUUCGGGUGCGAAUUCCAACAGGAGAUCUACUUGUUUGGGCCUGCUGCCCUGUCCGCAGAAUAUGCUAAUUUCAUUGUGAAGUUUGUUCAUUUCUCUCCCCAGCUCCUCCUUCCUUUGAAAAGCCCACAUUGGGGAAUGUUUAAAGAAAGAGAUGUGAUACAAGUACCUGUACUUUUUAAAAACUCAGCUGGGCUAAUAGCAGCUUUUGGGGAAGGUCUACCACUUUUAAUUGGGAAAAUGUCACAAGGAAAGGAAAUGUCACCAGGAAUAAGGGUUAAUGACUCUCCUUUAAGUAGUCUGCUUCUCUGAUCAAAACCAGAGCUUCAUCCCACUAAUAAAAACACCAGGGUGUUUUCCACACCCGGCUUUUAGUUUG